Microcebus murinus (gray mouse lemur) is the source of this 565-nucleotide non-coding RNA. The record is from RefSeq and is a predicted model, not a curated record. NCBI's taxonomy places the organism in Eukaryota, Metazoa, Chordata, Mammalia, Primates, Cheirogaleidae.
AGCGGCUCUGGGAGCCGGCGCAAGGAAGUCCGGAGCCGGCGACAGACACAUGGUGGCUGCCACAGCGCCCCUUACAGAACUGGAGGAGCGGCGUCUGUCCUGCUGCCUCUUGCGCCAGACCGCAGGGUCCUUCCAUCAGGAUUGAGCGGCUCUGUGAUGGUCCUAGAGAUGCAAGAAUGGAGCCGACAAGGUCCUAGUGAAGGAGCAACCAAAGACUUUAUAUGAUAAACAUUUGUGUCGGGUUAGUGGAGUGAGUGCAAAGGAAGAAGGAUCACUAAUCCAACACGCUGUGAAUUCUGAAAUGUGGCCUCAAGGAUUUGGGAUGAAGGCAGCUCUCUUUUACCGGUGAUGCAGAAACCAAGUCUGAAAAGUGAUACUAAACAGAUUAGCACCGUACUUCACUCCUAAUUGUCCAGCAAUUGGUGAGCCAGCAGAUGUUAAUCACAACAGAGAGGGGUAUGAUUAAUUUUGAUUUUUAGAAAAUGUAACUAAUGUCAGGAUAAAAGCUGGAUUGGUAGAACAGAGCCUGGGUGCAGGGUCAAAAACUAAAACAUAUUUUCCUCUA